Long non-coding RNA from Coffea eugenioides, 242 nucleotides. RefSeq lists it as uncharacterized. The transcript is spliced from 3 exons. Lineage: Eukaryota; Viridiplantae; Streptophyta; Magnoliopsida; Gentianales; Rubiaceae. The record is from RefSeq and is a predicted model, not a curated record.
GUUGCAGGAAUGGGGUGAUCCUCGCAAAGAAGAGUUUUACUUUUAUAUGAAGUCAUAUUCCCCUGUUGAUAAUGUGAAGGCACAAAAUUAUCCUGCAAUUCUUGUUACUGCUGGUUUGAAUGAUCCGCGGGUUAUGUAUUCUGAAGCUGCGAAAUACGUAGCAAAGUUGAGAGAUACAAAAACUGAUAAUAAUCUGCUGUUGUUCAAAUGUGAACUUGGUGCAGGGCACUUUUCAAAGUCUG